This 58-nucleotide transfer RNA is filed under the name Cricetulus griseus (Chinese hamster). RNAcentral also lists the same sequence under 3 other names. The record is from Rfam by way of RNAcentral. Lineage: Eukaryota; Metazoa; Chordata; Mammalia; Rodentia; Cricetidae.
UGGCUCAGAGGUUAAGAGCACUGACUGCUCUUUCAGAGGACCUGGGUUCAAUUCCCAG